GAUGAAGAACGCAGCGAAAUGCGAUAAGUAAUGUGAAUUGCAGAAUUCAGUGAAUCAUCGAAUCUUUGAACGCACAUUGCGCCCGCCAGUAUUCUGGCGGGCAUGCCUGUUCGAGCGUCAUUACAACCCUCAGGCCCCCGGGCCUGGCGUUGGGGAUCGGCAGAAGCCCCCUGUGUGCACACGCCGUCCCUCAAAUACAGUGGCGGUCCCGCCGCAGCUUCCAUUGCGUAGUAGCUAACACCUCGCAACUGGAGAGCGGCGCGGCCAUGCCGUAAAACACCCAACUUCUGAAUGUUGACCUCGAAUCAGGUAGGAAUACCCGCUGAACUUAAGCAUAUCAAUAAGCGGAGGA
RNAcentral lists this unclassified non-coding RNA (352 nucleotides) under soil metagenome. Its description in RNAcentral is "partial contains 5.8S ribosomal RNA, internal transcribed spacer 2, and large subunit ribosomal RNA". The stretch from base 1 to 120 matches the Rfam family "5.8S ribosomal RNA", at positions 35 to 154 of the family's 154-position model. The record is from RNAcentral.